GACGAACGCUGGCGGCGUGCUUAACACAUGCAAGUCGAACGCUGAAGCUCAGCUUUUGUUGGGUGGAUGAGUGGCGAACGGGUGAGUAACACGUGAGUAACCUGCCUCCUUCUUUGGGAUAACGCCCGGAAACGGGUGCUAAUACUGGAUAUUCACUGGUCUUCGCAUGGGGGUUGGUGGAAAGGGUUUUUCUGGUGGGGGAUGGGCUCGCGGCCUAUCAGCUUGUUGGUGGGGUGAUGGCCUACCAAGGCUUUGACGGGUAGCCGGCCUGAGAGGGUGACCGGUCACAUUGGCACUGAGAUACGGCCCAGACUCCUACGGGAGGCAGCAGUGGGGAAUAUUGCACAAUGGGCGCAAGCCUGAUGCAGCGACGCCGCGUGAGGGAUGGAGGCCUUCGGGUUGUGAACCUCUUUCGCUCAUGGUCAAGCCGCAACAAUGGUUGUGGUGAAGGUAGUGGGUAAAGAAGCGCCGGCUAACUACGUG
This 483-nucleotide ribosomal RNA is filed under the name uncultured bacterium. RNAcentral describes it as "partial 16S ribosomal RNA". It matches the Rfam family "Bacterial small subunit ribosomal RNA", at positions 28 to 507 of the family's 1533-position model. The record is from RNAcentral.